GGUUUAUAGUUUAUAAAAUAUUAAUUUGUCAGGUUAAAGAUGUCAAUAUUCCUCAAUUGAGUC
Molecule: transfer RNA, 63 nt
Filed under: Mesabolivar sp. ITV1036I1
Lineage: Eukaryota; Metazoa; Arthropoda; Arachnida; Araneae; Pholcidae
Also listed under: 1 other name
Description: tRNA-Asp
Source: RNAcentral